UGGGGAAUAUUGGACAAUGGGCGGAAGCCUGAUCCAGCCAUGCCGCGUGUGUGAAGAAGGCCUUUUGGUUGUAAAGCACUUUAAGCGAGGAGGAUGCUACUUGGAUUAAUACUCUAGGAUAGUGGACGUUACUCGCAGAAUAAGCACCGGCUAACUCUGUGCCAGCAGCCGCGGUAAUACAGAGGGUGCGAGCGUUAAUCGGAUUUACUGGGCGUAAAGCGUGCGUAGGCGGCUUCUUAAGUCGGAUGUGAAAUCCCUGAGCUUAACUUAGGAAUUGCAUUCGAUACUGGGAAGCUAGAGUAUGGGAGAGGAUGGUAGAAUUCCAGGUGUAGCGGUGAAAUGCGUAGAGAUCUGGAGGAAUACCGAUGGCGAAGGAAGCCAUCUGGCCUAAUACUGACGCUGAGGUACGAAAGCAUGGGGAGCAACCAGG
This 430-nucleotide ribosomal RNA is filed under the name bacterium. Its description in RNAcentral is "partial 16S ribosomal RNA". It matches the Rfam family "Bacterial small subunit ribosomal RNA", at positions 355 to 776 of the family's 1533-position model. The record is from RNAcentral.